This 500-nucleotide ribosomal RNA is filed under the name uncultured bacterium. Its description in RNAcentral is "partial 16S ribosomal RNA". It matches the Rfam family "Bacterial small subunit ribosomal RNA", at positions 30 to 523 of the family's 1533-position model. The record is from RNAcentral.
AUUGAACGCUGGCGGAAUGCUUUACACAUGCAAGUCGAACGGCAGCACGGACUUCGGUUUGGUGGCGAGUGGCGAACGGGUGAGUAACAUAUCGGAACGUAUCCAAUAAUGGGGGAUAACGAGUCGAAAGAUUCGCUAAUACCGCAUACGCCCUACGGGGGAAAGCUGGGGACCUUCGGGCCUGGCGUUAAUGGAGCGGCCGAUAUCUGAUUAGCUAGUUGGUGAGGUAAAGGCCCACCAAGGCGACGUUCAGUAGCUGGUCUGAGAGGACGACCAGCCACACUGGACCUGAGACACGGUCCAGACUCCUACGGGAGGCAGCAGUGGGGAAUUUUGGACAAUGGGCGCAAGCCUGAUCCAGCCAUUCCGCGUGAGUGAAGAAGGCCUUCGGGUUGUAAAGCUCUUUCGCAAGGGAAGAAAACUUAGCCACUAACAUUGGUUGAGGUUGACGGUACCUUGAUAAGAAGCACCGGCUAACUACGUGCCAGCCGCCGCCGUAA